AGUUCGAAGUAUUCUGUAACUUGGAUCAAACGCUAAAACCCUAGACAAGAACCAACGGAAAUUCCCUUCCCUUUUCAAUUUCAACCCAAAAUUUAGGUAAAUAGAAAAAACAGAGCACAAAUGGAAGGUGGGGUGGGUCGUAAUGGCAAAGAGAGAGAAGAGGAACAAGACGGCAUGUCCGUACAUUCCCCAUGCAAAGCUCCUCCUUCCUCUGCUUCCUCUCUUCCCAAGGAGCAAUCACAGGUGGAAUUAGAGCUAAGACUCUUAGAAGCUUUGGAGAUCUACCCUCCUGUCAAACUAAGAGGCAUGCAUCGCCACUUUGUACUUUAUGGUCUCAUGGAAUUUCUUCGGAGAAGCUUUGAUCGGCAAUUUUCUCCAGAUGAGGUUUUGCAGUUGCUGGACCGAUUCUACAACAUUGAAAUGCUGUUUCAGAAACCAGAUGAUGAAGAGGCAGAAAUUCUGAAUCACGAGGAAGAUUUUUCCUUGCCUCAAAGUUAUUUUGUCAAGGAAGAGUGAAAUUGAUAAUUUUGAACCACAUCUUUUUUGGACUCCUUGCACAACAAUCCUAGCUGGGAGCAUUUUUCUUGAUCAUAUUUUAAAUCCAAAACUGGCGCAAACUUGAUAGGAGUCAGUGUUGCUUAGAAUCUCUGAAGGCCAUUAUAUUCUGUUUUUUGAAGACGGCAGAGACAAGGUUGUGUGAGGGUCAAACAAUAACGAGGACAAGUGCGUUAGGAAUAUAGGAUGCAUUUUCUUGUCUAUUGAUUUCUAGUUUCAGUCAAUGUAUUCUGCUCGUCCCAAAAGAGGAGAUUCAUGUGGAGUAAGAAGCUCAAGAAUUUGGUAAUUUCCUGGCGUGGUCAGGCGCCGUCCAUGCAUUAAAAUAACUGCCAAAUUAUAAUAGAAAUGGGUUAGUACAUUUUUACA
This is an RNA transcript of Populus euphratica (Euphrates poplar), 921 nucleotides long. It is a transcript of the gene named chromatin modification-like protein, with no coding region annotated. The transcript is spliced from 6 exons. The record is from RefSeq and is a predicted model, not a curated record. NCBI's taxonomy places the organism in Eukaryota, Viridiplantae, Streptophyta, Magnoliopsida, Malpighiales, Salicaceae.